This is a long non-coding RNA of Plodia interpunctella (Indianmeal moth), 757 nucleotides long. RefSeq lists it as uncharacterized. The transcript is spliced from 3 exons. The record is from RefSeq and is a predicted model, not a curated record. Lineage: Eukaryota; Metazoa; Arthropoda; Insecta; Lepidoptera; Pyralidae.
CAAAUGUAUAUUAUAUUUAAUUAUAUUCAAAUCUAUUGCUAGUGAAACACGUAAUUAAAGCGAGAGAAUAUGAUUUUUGUAUUUUUAUCAGUUUUUAUAUUAUCUCACCAAUGUACUAUUGUAUUUUGUCAAGAGUAUCCACGUCCAGUGAAGGAAAUAUAUCAAUAUAACACUAUUGAAGGUUGUAAUUGCCCCAACAGUCCAAAAUUGUUAAAUAUGAAUGAAAAUCUAGGAAAUUUGGUGAAAUUAACCAGUCCGGGAAAUAGUGUUGAUGAAUUGUCCUCUAUAAACUUGACCCCCAAUUUUCUGGGCCUCAAUGAAGUGUCGCCCAUCAGUGUGGUCCCUUACAAUCUCAACGCAACACCGGUCAAAGUUAACAUAUUCCGAUAUUUUGAUACAUCAAAAACCGCGCCGAAUGUAGCACAAAGUGAUACCACGAGAACACCUUUAGCUCCAGGGCCCUUGAGAACCGGAUCCCUGAUCGGUGGCUCAUCGAACGGCUUGACGUCUGACCUUGCAGUUUCCGGAAGUAUCACCGGUUCUAACCAGAGUCGCACAAAUGCUGAUGCAGCUUCAGGCGAUGCAAAAAUAGGUGCAGCAUCAAUCAGACCGACGUUGACAGGAAUUAACACGAAAGAAACAAAGGCUACGAAGAAUAUAGAAUCUCUCGGUUUAGACUUGAUCGCUUCUCUGUUGGGAUUGCCCCCUCUGCUUGAGGCGAAGUUUAGCUUUGUAUAAUUAAAUAUUUCCAGUGUUA